Molecule: ribosomal RNA, 60 nt
Filed under: Erysiphe heraclei
Lineage: Eukaryota; Fungi; Ascomycota; Leotiomycetes; Helotiales; Erysiphaceae
Also listed under: 1 other name
Description: partial 28S rRNA
Rfam family: Eukaryotic large subunit ribosomal RNA
Source: RNAcentral
UUGACCUCGAAUCAGGUAGGAAUACCCGCUGAACUUAAGCAUAUCAAUAAGCGGAGGAAA